GCCCCAGCAGCUCGAUGGAUCGAGCACUCCUCUGCUAAAGGAACGGUUCCCGGUUCGACUCCGGGCUGGGGCA
Molecule: transfer RNA, 73 nt
Filed under: Phycisphaerae bacterium
Lineage: Bacteria; Pseudomonadati; Planctomycetota; Phycisphaerae
Description: tRNA-Ser
Rfam family: tRNA
About the family: Transfer RNA (tRNA) molecules are approximately 80 nucleotides in length. Their secondary structure includes four short double-helical elements and three loops (D, anti-codon, and T loops).
Source: RNAcentral